This is a non-coding RNA of Taeniopygia guttata (zebra finch), 3543 nucleotides long. The record is from RefSeq and is a predicted model, not a curated record. NCBI's taxonomy places the organism in Eukaryota, Metazoa, Chordata, Aves, Passeriformes, Estrildidae.
CUUCUAGGAUGGUGCACCGAUUCAGACAACUGGAUGCAAAGGUACUUCUGUCCCAGAUUGCUCCGGGGAAUAUGAUUCUCUCUGGUAAAGCAGGGGGUGUGCCAUGGCAAGGAAAAUGAGCCUCCCAGAGUCGUGUGCAGUCUGUGUCACUGUCACCAGGGCCCCAUUUUAAUUGAGCUUUUUUACCGUGCUCUUUUGAUUCCACAGAUAGGAGUGUGUAGGGCGUGUAGUGAUUAGGACAGAAGGGAAUGGUUUUGAACUGAGAGUAGGAUUAGAUGGGAUAAUGGGAAAAAAUUCUUGGCUGUGAGUUUGGGCCCACCCUGGCACAGGGUACCCAGAGAAGCUGUGGCUGCCCCUGGAUCCCUGGAAGUAUCAAAAGCCAGGCUGGAUGGGGUUGGAGCAGCCAACAAUGAGCUGUGAGGUCCCUUCCAAGCCACAAGAGCUUUAUAUGAUGCAGGAAAAUGAAACAAAGACACUUGCUUAGCACUGGAGGAGUGUUUCUCAAUAUUCCUUGUGGGAUGGAAUAAAACGAAGUAAUUUACAUCUUAAACUGCAACAUUCAGCUGUAUAACAGGUCCAUGAAAUGCCAGUGGGAAGAAGGGAUGUCACACACUUGACAUGUCCCCAUCGCAAAGGUGUCUGUCAAGUUUAGCUUCUGGUGGUGUUGGCCUGGUGUAAUUAAGCAAUAUAAGGCUACCCAUCUACCAGAGAGCACAUUAUGAGAAUUGCCAUGCAAAUAAUCUUUUUAUGACUGUGAUGUUGAAAUGGGUAUGUGUGUUCACAGUGGGUAUUUUCUGAGGCUUGACUGAAUUAUCUGUUUGGCCUCUGAAGUGAGAAGUGGCUUUGGUAUGAAGCAAAGACUUUUCCAGAAGCUCAGGUGAAAAGACCCACAUAUACUUCAGAGUACUUUUUUUUUUGUUACUGUCAAAUAAUUUAGAUUGCAAAAUAAUAGCUUGCUUCCAGACUGAAAGGGAAGUGGUGAGUGAGUCUGUGGCUAGUGAUGCUUUUCUUGAAACUGAAAGGAGAUCUGCUAACCUUAAUUCUCUCCUGAAAAGAAAUACCCAUCUCUUGCUUCUCUCUUCUGGUAACUGCUGGUUAACUCUCUGAAAUAGAGGCAUCAGGACUCGCUGCAUUAAUUGCCCUGAUGAACACUGUACUUGGGACUGUCCUCUCAAGCACUCUUGCAUUUGGUGUAAUACUUGCAGAGGCAAUUACUUGUUACUUUCAUUGCUCAUUAGCAUUGCAUUCCUUCAGCUAGAUGGACUUUACAAAAAUAACCUCCUCCUUUUUUUUUUUUUUUUUUUUUUUUUAAGCUCUCUGAUUUGAAGGGCUUUCUGAAAGAGAUUUCCAGUAAAAUUAAAUGAGUGGAGCUGAAAUUCAAGAGCAGCUACUGGAGCAGGGUACCAAUUAAUGAAGAAUAAUUGCUCGGAGCUGGCAGCAACCCCCAAGCAGAUGGUAACAGAGGCACCAGAGUAUCAAUGUCUCAGCAGGAGUCAGCAGGAUUUUCUUGCAAUUUUUAUUUUUGUUGAUCAAACAGUCCUUUCUCCUUGUUGCAAGGUUGUGGUGAAACUGGAGAUGACUGCUUAUCUCCUGACAUGAUUCCUGCCCAAACUCUUCUCAUCUGCCCUAAGGUCCAGUGGCAGCAAUUAGUCCUUGUUAAGCUGCUGUUGCAAAUCACUCCUAUUUCCAAGAGUUCUGCUGCUGUUGCCAAAAUCCCUUUGCUUUUCCAUUUCACUUGGAGGGACCUGUGCGUGGCUUUCCUUCAAGCACUAAUUGCAUGUCUGAAUGAAUCAAUCUCCCUUCCUGUUCUGCCCUGUAGUAGCUGGAUCUUGCUUGUUCCUUGCACGGGCUGUCAGACCUGCUGGGGUCUGGAAUGCUGGUGUGCCAGAAUGCAGUGCAUUUCAGCAUCAUCCCCCCAAGGAAAGCCUUUGGUCCAACCCUGCAUCCCUAUUUCAGACUGUAAAGGAACAUUGUGGACUUGUUCCCCCUCUACCCGGAACCUUUCAGCAGUGCAGAAGCUCAGCUAUUACAGCCCUGCAUGGGAGAGACAUUAAUUCAUCUAGGAACUGUUUCUAAGGCUUUGUGGGCAAUCCUUCCUUGGUUUCAGUCAUGAAAAUUUGUAUUCUGGGAAUGUUGGAAUUCAUUUGACUUUUCCAAUGUGUUUGCUGAUCUUUGCAGCUGGAAAUGGAAAAGAGAUUGUUGGAACCUUUAAAUAGAGCAGUGCUUGAUAUGGUCAGGUGGUGCUUUCUGUCUAAAAUAGCAGCUGAAUUCUGUCACUUUUUUUUUUUUUUUUUUUUGUAUAACUGAGAGCAUAGCCAACUGAAGGCACUACAAAUAGCAUUUAUUUACAUGGCAAAGCAUUGUAUCAACCUUCCUUCCCAGUGUCUUGGAAUCAUGGAAUCACAGACUCACCAGAGGAAAGGACCUGCAAGGAUCAUGGAGUCCAACCCCUGGCCCUGCACAGACACCCCAACAAUCCUAUCCUAUGCAUCCCUGAGAGCAUUGUUCAAAUGUUCCUUGGGCUCUGUCAGCCUGGGGCUUUGCCCAUUCCCUGGGGGAGUCUGGUCAGUGCCCCAGCACCAUCUGGGAGAAGAACCUUUUCCUAAAAUUCCACCUUACCCUGCCCUGACACAGCUCCAGCCGCUCCCUCAGGUGCUGUCCCUGUCACAGAGAGCAGAGAUUGGAGCUGUCCUUUGGGACAGAGCUGCCAGCCAUGCUGAGACCUCCUCCUCUUCUCCAAGCUGAACAAGCCAAUUGACCUCAGCUGUUCCUCAUACAGCUUCCUCUCCUGGCCCCUCAUCAUCUUCAUUCCCCUCUUUGGAUACUCUCUGCAGGCCUUAUAUCCUUAUGAUACAUUCAGAGAGGUUGCUGCUCUUUUCUCCCUGCAUUUCAUCACCCAACUGUACUGUAUGCUGUGCAUGACAUCAUCCUGGGGUCUCCAGCACUAACAAUAGCAGUGGUAUCUGUUUUCAUGUGGAAAUAUUUCCUGCUGAAAAGUAAAGGAGCCAGGCUUUCACUGAUUCACAUGGCAGUUAGCUGCAUCAUAAAUUCUUGAGAUAAGGUUCCUUUCUGGAAAUUAUUUUUCCCAUAUCAUUUGUCUGCCUUGGAUGUGAAAAUUGUGCUUUUUGUUCACUCCCUUCCUAUAUAAAACCUGUGGAAUGCUUUCAACCCUUCCGGGAAAUCCCAAGGGCCUUGCCUUGGAAGAAUAUACAAUAGUCUCCACCUAGGCUUAAAGAGAAGACUUCUGCCAUGGAGCCUUGCAACACCAGGAUCCACCCCCGUUCCUUUCCCCGUGUCCCAAAUUCUUGCAGUUUUUCCUUUCCCUGUUUCCUCAUUGGUCCUUGGUCGUGGUAUCCCUGGUGGCUGGCCCCGUCUUCCCUGUAGGCCAAUGCCCUUUGCCCUGCCCUUUGUGCUGCCCCCGUGCCCUCAGACCAUUGGCCACUGACCCCUGCUUAACCUUGUGCAGAGCACAUGGCCAGGUCUUUGUCCCUGAUCCCUUCAGCCUGGUGGAUGCAAUAAACCUUUGCUGGAAUACAUCAUAAA